This is a long non-coding RNA of Alligator mississippiensis (American alligator), 7527 nucleotides long. RefSeq lists it as uncharacterized. NCBI's taxonomy places the organism in Eukaryota, Metazoa, Chordata, Crocodylia, Alligatoridae. The transcript is spliced from 4 exons. The record is from RefSeq and is a predicted model, not a curated record.
GCGGAGCUGCUGCUUGAAAAGGUGCAUCUGCUUCCUACCUGGUUCCUGGCCCGGUUUGAUUUGAGCGUGUGGCAGCGCCUUCCCCAAAGCCACCCUUAGCCCCCGCUACAGGCUGUACGUGUGAUGCGGGUCACUGGUGAACGGUGCAAUGAAUGUGGACCCACCACACCGCAAAGUAAGACGGGACUCAAGUGUGAAGUAAUUAUCAAACAAUUUUGGAAAUCCUAAUGGUGAUGGAUCAGUGAGCGAGACCUGAGAAAUGCUCUGGUUCUGGAAAAAUGAAAGUAAGCAAGAGUCCUAAGCUGAGGAGGUUUAUGUGCAAUUAACUUCAUUCACUGGAACAACUUUCCUUUGUUCUUCUGAUUAGACCGUUUCUCCAAAUCACUUCUGAGCCUGAACUGACCUCCAACAUAGAUUAAACCUAAGCAGCGGAGACCUGCACUGGAAGCUUCUAUUGGUAUAACUUUUGAUAGCUGCCAACAGUGCACAACUGGCUGUGUUUACUAGUGAUACCCAGGAGAGUCACAUUGAGAAGAGGCAGUGAAGCCUGGACAAGUAUCCCAUUGUCUCUUCACUGCUACCAGUUGUCUGCGUACCACUGAUGGUACCCGUACCACAGAUUGGGAGCUGAUGAUCUAGCACAUGAACAAUGGUGGAGUUGCAAUGCCAGUAGUGAUUCUGAGGGGCCCAGUCUACCAGGCUAUGAAAUCAUUCUCUCGACACUGAACAACAGCAAGGAGCAACUUAAGCAGGGGCUGGAUGAAAUGCUGUUGGCAGGAGGAGGAGGAUAAGGGCAAAGCUUUUGAUUUUGAAGAACCAGACAGACAAGCAAUAACAAGAGUCCCUAGAGACACUAUAUGACUGGGGAAAGCCUCACAAUCCCCCUGAAGAGUGCCAUAGUAGUGCAGCAUACUGUACUCAUAACCUUCUCUGUAGACUUGGAUAGAUAUAGAUUGUAAAGGUGCAGAAACUCUCCCCUGAUAUGUUCUCAUGCUUCCAAGUGCUCAGGCAUCAUGGAAGAGGAAACAGCUCAAGUUAAAAGCAAAUUGUUAAUAAGUAGGGUGGGGAACAGAGCCAGAGAUUAAAGGGAGAAGUGUGGAAGGUAGUACUAGGGGAGGGAUUAGAGGACAGGGAUAAUGCAGUAUGCAUUGCCAAACUUACUAGAAAUAGUAAGGCAAAAAAAGGUUGAUACAUCACCAGACAAAAUCCUAAAGAAGACAUUUGUUCAGGGUGGCUUGAUGUCACCCUACACACCAUAUCCAGUACACUUGUUACAUCAUCUGGAAUAGAUGGUUAGUUUUCAACAACCGCUCUUUUGCCAGGCCAUUUUUAAAUCUGCUUAGAUUAUUUACCUGUACUUUUGUUGGUUUAGUUUUUAAUAUGCUGAUAAAGGUCCUCUAGAAUGACUCUCUUCCUUUUGCCUUAGGGCUGCCCAAACAAGACUUGUUUGGGGAGCCUGUUAUCCAGGAAUCUCAGAAUGUGGCCAAGGCAAGUUUCCCUGCUCACUUGUACCAGUGAGUGCGAUUUGUCAGGGGUUUUUCUUCUGGUUAUGACAUAUCACCCCUCCCUUGAACCUGUACGGAAAAUCCUCAAACAAUUGCAACCCAUACUAGACAGAGACCCUAUUCUUAAAAAGAUCUUCCCAGAGCCACCCAUCCUAGCCUUCAAACACACACCGAACCUCGCUAACUUCAUCACCAGAAGCAAACUUCCUCAAGCCCAGAACACCAAAAGGAUCCAGACCGUGCCAUGACAAGAAAUGCAAAACCUGCCAACACAUCACCACCCCCCCCACAAUUACUACACCCUACAACAGAGCCAUCAGCAUUCCUGGAUCUUACAGCUGCACCUCCAGAAAUGUAAUAUACCUCAUCCAAUGCACCAAAUGCCCUGAUGGAAAAUACGCAGGAGAGACCAAACAACAACUGCGCACCAGAAUGAAUGCACACUGGAAAUCUGUCAAAGACAGAAAUACCCAAUUACCGGUGGGGGCACAUUUCUCACAAGAAAACCACUCUCUCUCCAAUCUCUCAGUCCUGAUCCUCAAAGGAAACCUACAAAACACUUCCCAGAGAUGAGCCUAUGAACUCCACUUCAUCAACCUCCUGGAUACUAAAAAUCGUGGACUAAAUAUAGACAUUGGAUUUAUAACACAUUAUAACUGCCUGACAUCUGACUCCCCAGGUAUCUCUCCACUUUCAUCCCCCUUCUCUCCCCCCCCUGGCCUGUCUCUCACCCAUUGACUCCUCAGUCUACAUGACUACCUGUCUUGUAUGCACACCAGCCCAGCCGCUGGUUGCUUUACUUUUCAUUCCAUCCAGGAAGAGCACGCACCAACUGCUGAAACGUCCUUAGCCUGACAAAGGGUUUUUGAACCCAAAAGCUUGCUUAAUAAUUAUUUUCCAACUAUUUAGGUUGGUCUAAUAAAAGAUAUCAGAUUCACCCAAGGAACCUUGUCUGUCAUUAGACUCAAGGCAUUCAGCUCUUAGUUUUCACUUGAUUUUUAACUAUGGAAAAAUAGUAGAACGAUUUUUCUGGUGCAAAUAACUCAGAAAGACCAUGUAGGUCAGAAUAUUUUUGGGACUAUGGAUUUCUAUUUGAAAUCUCCAGAUUGAUCUUGUGAAUCAUGUGUAGGUGUUUGCAUAUAACAAUACUAUAUUUCACAGAACCUCAGGGCACCUGAAAAGGACUUCACUAUGCCCCAGGUCAUUAAUUAUAAAACCUAUUUGUUUAGCAGUAUUAAUUUGAUUAAGCCUUAGUUGGAGUUUGUUUAUCAAUGUGUUCAGUGAACAGGUAUUAUCAGGAAAAUCCUUAUUUUUAAGCACUCUACCCACAGUAUUGAGUUUCCAUGACAGUCUAUUGCAUAACAGAAUCAAUGCUGACACCAAAGGUACUAUCCUCACUGAUUCCAGCAAUAACAUCAAACCAGUUUGUUAAUGCCUGGCUAGAAAUCACAAUACCUCUGACAUCUUAAAAGAGAAUUUGGAAGAACUAGAUCAUUUUGCAAGGAAAUGUGUAGGUUUUCAGUAUCUGCCACCAAUACUUUCUAUCAAUGCUGUCAAAGAAGAAAGAGCUUUUUUUGGUGAUAUCUUAUAUUGGCCAACCUGUAUAGCUGGGAAAAAUAUUAGGCACAGAAAAUACUGAAAUCCACUGUCUACCGUGGAAAAUCCAUAACAUGAAUAAAAAGGAAGCCAGGCCACACAGAAACAUCUACAUCCUAAGCUUGUGCAAGAAAUAACAUCAUCUCCAUGUUAUGCAACCAUCUGGCUAAGACACAGGCUGAACCAAACAACACAACUAUGCAGAAGGACCCCAUAAAAACUGAGAAGCCACCUUCUUCAAUUUUAAUAUCUCUCCCAACUAUACAGUUGGUCCAAUAAAUGAUGUAAUAAAAAACCCUACUUGCAUAUUUCCUGGACCAUCACAGAUAUAGCAGCACCCCAAUGUUAUGUAUAUUGUCACGGGCGUUUAGAAAAGCAGUUUAAAUUUAAAAUGAGUGAUAGCUGCCACUCAUGGUUUUAUUCAAUAAUGCUGUGUUGUGAAGGUACCAGCCCAUUACUGUCAGACUAUGUUCAGUUAUAGUGCUACAAUUGCUCCUUAACAGAGUGACAUCAAGGUCUCCUAUCUCAGUGGCAGAGACAAAGGUAUCCUUUCAAAUAAUGUAAUGGAUCAACUAAUAUCUUCUGGAAAAUUCUAUUGAGAAUAUCUUCGAGGACAAGCGGACCUUUUGUAUAAAGACCACCAGAAGAUUCCAUAAAGGAGUAGGCUUGUCCAUGCUGAGUCUGUAAACCAAAGCAAAUGAACUCUGCUAAGCCAACAACAUCAUCUUUACCUUCAGCCAAGCAUUGCACAAGAGCAGUUUGUUUUGGACUUGAUUAGUUGGACUUGAAAACCAAAGCACAGUCUCUUGUAGUGUUUGCAUUACAGGUUAAUUGAUGAGUUCAUACAAAUCAUGCAAAUUAGGUUUUCUCACUGACCUGACACUGGAUUACUUGCAGGGGUUAUUUUAAAUUUACUACAUACAUUGAUGUUAUGUUCAGGUAUCAGUUUAAAUCUAUAUCUGUCUGUUUGCAAUGAACUGAUUUAUAUUAGCAUUUUCUUGUUGCGGAAGUUCUGUCUUGCAGCCAAAACAUGAUGACUACUAGUGAUUCUAAUAGUCUCUUAUUUUACUGCUAGUACCUGUUUCUUAAGAAACAAAACCAAAUAAGGUGCUCCUUAAAGUCAGCUCCUUUAUCUUCCAGUUCCAUGCACAUAGCCAGAAUUUUGAGGGAGGAAGAGGGCAGGAGGCUUGGAGUCUCUCAAAGCAAAAUAGAAAUAAAUAUGGCUUGUACACCUAUAAAAGCUUCCUUUCCUUUCUAUUCCUGGUCCUAGUUCCAGCCUUGUAGGGGUCUGGCUCAGGCCCAUCUGUGUGUGGAAAGGCUCCUGGAUCUCUGUGGGAUUUAUACUCUUUUCCAUGUGUGCCUCCUCAGCAAGCUCUGAAAUGGACUCUGAAAAUGGUUCUUUCCUCCAGGCCUCUUGAAAUGUCCACUGUCACUUAUGAAAAGAUGGUGGCCCCCCACUAAGCAUACCAUAUUCAUCAUAGAAGCAGUAGCAUAACGAGGGUGGAGGAGCAGGGCACCUGCCCAGAAGCCUAAUUAGACAGGGCACCAUAAUUGUUCCCCUGGGAGCCUUUGCUAUGACAGGCCGAGCCCUGUGGUGCCCAGCCAUAGAAGCCUGGCAGCCCUGCACUGUGUAGUGUAUGGGGGUGCAGUGAGGCUGCUGCAGCUGAGGGACAGACUUGUUACAUGUUGGCUGUACCAGCCCCAUGGCACAAGCUCCCAGUGGCUGUCCCAGGUGCCCUGCUCACUUCCUUACCUCCAGCACUCUACUAGGUGCCUCCCAUGGCAAAAAUCCCAGAGAGGAGUGCCAUUCAGCUCAACUCCCUCUGCCCCCCUCCCGACCAUACACUACUACAGUAUGCCAGGAUGGCUUUUAUGGCUGGAUAUUGCUAGGCUAUGCUGCUGUAGUAAAGGCUCCUGGGGGAUUGGGUGUCCCCUGCUGAGGGGACGGGGUAAGGGGUCAGCCUGAUUAUCAAGCAAAGCAGAAACCCCUGGAACCUGAGAGCUAGCAGAGGAAUCUUACCCUGCAGGCAGCAGGGAGAGGAUCUUUUGAAGGAGAGGGCUGCAGGAGACAGAGUGGUUGAUGCCUAAGUGUUCCUCUAGGGCUGCAUGGAGAAAGCCAUGGAGAGCUUAGGGUGUUUAGUGAGGCAAGGAGCCAAAAUGGGGUGACUUGCAGUUGGAAAAUGGUUUGCUUGUGUUUAUAUUUUGACACUGUUUAAAACCAGAGGAUUGAGUUGUGGAUGCAGGAGUGGAGGAGGCCGCAGGUGGGGUGCCUAAGAGGUAUUUUCUGUUACUGGGACUGAGACCCAGGAAGUUAGGGUCCAAAGACGGGGACCUGGACUGAAGGAGUCUAGCCAGAUAAAAAGGGCUGAAGCUGGACAGGUGGAAGUCCAGACAAAGGUUUGGAGCCUGGCAGCCCAGUGUUAAUUUGGACAUAGAGAUCUGCUAUGAAGAGACUACCAAGAGGCAUGGGCAGGACUAUGGGAUAGCCUAGGAGGUAUGCUUGAAGAGAUGGGCUAGGAAGAAAAGAGGCAUUCCCAUAAUAUAAGGGGUUCUUAAAGGUGGAGGCAGGCUGCUAGUCACUGUGGGCAUGUCAACAUGUGAAUUUACAUUCACCUAAACAAUGCACUUUAGUCUAAGGCGCAUUAAGUGGAUUUAUAGGUGUAUGCCUUUAGGUACCUUAACAUGGGUGAGCACAUUUGCAACUUGCCCUGGGCAGCACCCUGGACAGCCUCUCUGCACGCACAGCUGUGCCAGACCCUGCGGGUGACGUGCGGGUGCCACUCUGGGAAAGUGGCUGGGGCAGCAUGACCAAUGAGCAUGUUUCUGGCUGGGGAGCGCAGAGAAAGGUGCGGGGCAAGCUCAGGGGCUGCGGGGUCUGUCAGCAGCAUGUAUGAAGCCAGAGCUGCUAGAUCGCAGCCAGAAGUGGCUCCGCUCCAAGUGAGCAGAGGGUGCACCCAAGCCCCAAAGCCAUGUCUAGCAACUUGAGGCAGCUGCACCCAGCGCUGGGCCUGGCCAUGGGGUACCAAGCUGCCUGCCAGUUCCCUGAAGCCCACAGUAACAUAUCUGGGUGGUGCAGCACAGCUCUGGCCAAGGAAGUGGGAGCUCCAGUCCCUCCCAGACACAAUCAGCUCAGCCCCAGCUCUAACCCCUUCCCUGUGUUCCUGCCUCCCCAGCACUGGUCGAGAGUGGGCCAGAGCCAAGCCCGUAGAACCCUGCAUUGCUGCUGGGCAUUGCCAAAAAGAAGCAGCAGCAGCAGCAGGUGCCCCAGGUCAGUUAGCACACCAACAGGUACCACUGCUGCUGGAACUGCUGCUCCAGCUCGUGUCUGUGCCUUGGAGAACAGCACCCACUGCUGCUUCUUCUUGGCAGUGCCUGGCAGCAGCAUGGGGCCCUGGGGGCUCAGCUCUGGCCCACUGAAGUCGACAUACAGGCUUCCCUUGCUUUAUACAGGUUCUGUAUAUGUGAAUUCAGUCUUAUGCAGUGGCCCUUUUAUACCAAAAAUUCGUUAUAUGCGAGGUAAAUUUACUCUUAUGUGACCAGUGUGGUAGAAGCCCACAGUCAGCUGCUUUGUUUGGUGCAUUGUGACACGCACCAAAAUAUAGUCUCCUGUGUGGAUCUGUGCCAACUCCAUUAUGAUAGUGCCCUGUGCUUGUGUGUACUGUCUGCUGUUGGUGAGUACCAAAAUUGUCUUGUAAAAGAGGUAGAAAUGGGUCUGUGGGUCAAUACAGUCGAGGUCUUGGAAUGUAUUCCUAUUUGUUAUGUUGUUAAGUGGGUUCCCUUUAUGCAAAUUCAAGUUAUGUGCUGUUUUCCAGGAACACAUGUACAGCAUAAAUCUAGGGAAACCUGUGCACAGUGUUAAAGAGUCUUAAUGUUAUACACAUAGACAUUUUGCCUAUUGCUUUUAAUCUUAUGAAUUUUCUUGAGUUUUGCAUUGCUUUAAGAAACUCCAUUUUGUAUUGCUUUGUAGCUUGACAUAAGUGCUCGACCUUUGUAUGCUGUAUGUGUGAGAGAAUGGGUGAGAAUGUGUCUAUGGAAAAGGAAAACAUCAUCUGGUGACUGGUGAAGAAUGCAGACAGAUAAAAGACCAAAACAAGAAGAAUCCACCCCAGAACAGUGAGAGAACAACGGUAAUCGACCUUCAAGGAAGAACACAGUGAUAACAUAGCGAAAGCCCAUAAGGAUGAAUUGACAAAGCUAUAAAAGAUGGGCGAGACAUAUCAGUUUUGGGUCUUGUUCUUCAUGUCAUCCUGGAGCAUCGGUUUGACAGGAUGGACUGGCAGGAGCAUGCCUCCCUACUCAUGAUCAAUUUGGGUGGCCACUUAGUUGAUCUGAGUACUGAUAAGACUGGUAAUGUAUACCAGCACAGAACAGAAAUUGGGGUAUGAGUGUGUGUGUGCUUAAUCAAUAAAUGCGGUAUCUUGCCUUA